Molecule: long non-coding RNA, 407 nt
Organism: Archocentrus centrarchus (flier cichlid)
Lineage: Eukaryota; Metazoa; Chordata; Actinopteri; Cichliformes; Cichlidae
Exons: 4
Source: RefSeq, a predicted model, not a curated record
AUCCAGGUUGACGAGGAAGUUGAACUCAGGUCGGGACAGGUACAGGCUCCAGGCAGAUGCUGCGUGGUGGUUCUCUAGCACUGAGCGGUCAUUGUACAGCACAGCCUACAUCACCCAGGAGGGAAAGGCACAAGCUUCUCUGAACACUGCAUGAUCUGGGAUGUCUACACCUGGGAAGACCGUGGCAAUCAGACCAGUGUGACCCAGUCUGAAUGCUCCAGACCAGCAAACUGCCAAAACGCUUUCUCCAGUUGAUAAUCUCACUCCUCUGGUUUCCUCCAUCGUCUGGUAUCCCAUCGUCAGACACAUCCACCUCCGAACUCUCCUCCCUAAUCAGAGGCUCCCCUGUGAACUCCGGUCCUUCACCUGCUGCGUAUACAUGCAUACAGCACAAUAUGAAAGGCACC